Molecule: ribosomal RNA, 461 nt
Filed under: uncultured bacterium
Lineage: Bacteria
Description: bacterial SSU rRNA
Rfam family: Bacterial small subunit ribosomal RNA
Source: RNAcentral
UUACGGGAGGCAGCAGUGGGGAAUCUUGCGCAAUGGGCGAAAGCCUGACGCAGCAACGCCGCGUGUGUGAUGAAGGUCUUCGGAUCGUAAAGCACUGUCGCGAGGGACGAAUAAGGGGCGGGUUAACAUCCCGUUCCGAUGACGGUACCUCGAGAGGAAGCACCGGCUAACUCUGUGCCAGCAGCCGCGGUAAUACAGAGGGUGCGAGCGUUGUUCGGAAUUAUUGGGCGUAAAGCGCGUGUAGGCGGCCUUGCAAGUUGGGUGUGAAAGCCCUCGGCUUAACCGAGGAAGUGCGCCCAAAACUACGAGGCUUGAGUGCCGGAGAGGGUGGCGGAAUUCCCGGUGUAGAGGUGAAAUUCGUAGAUAUCGGGAGGAACACCAGUGGCGAAGGCGGCCACCUGGACGGUAACUGACGCUGAGACGCGAAAGCGUGGGGAGCAAACAGGAUUAGAUACCCCGGU